This 274-nucleotide ribosomal RNA is filed under the name uncultured bacterium. RNAcentral describes it as "partial 16S ribosomal RNA". It matches the Rfam family "Bacterial small subunit ribosomal RNA", at positions 524 to 796 of the family's 1533-position model. The record is from RNAcentral.
UACGUAGGGAGCAAGCGUUGUCCGGAUUUAUUGGGCGUAAAGAGCUCGUAGGUGGCUUAGCAAGUCAGAUGUGAAAACUCCAGGCUCAACCUGGAGACGCCAUUUGAUACUGCUAUGGCUUGAGUUCGGUAGGGGAGCACGGAAUUCCUGGUGUAGCGGUGAAAUGCGCAGAUAUCAGGAGGAACACCGAUGGCGAAGGCAGUGCUCUGGGCCGAAACUGACGCUGAGGAGCGAAAGCGUGGGUAGCAAACAGGAUUAGAAACCCCAGUAGUCC